RNAcentral lists this long non-coding RNA (4757 nucleotides) under Monomorium pharaonis (pharaoh ant). RNAcentral describes it as "uncharacterized LOC105829496". The record is from RNAcentral. Lineage: Eukaryota; Metazoa; Arthropoda; Insecta; Hymenoptera; Formicidae.
UAUUUCAUACAUUUGUACGAGUUUUUAUACAUAUAAAAAAUUAUAAUUCAUGGACAUAUUAAAUAUUCAAGAAUUAAUUUAUUGAAUUGUAUUUUAAAUGCCCUAAAACAUUAAAGGAUCGAUGACAGCAGGUAAAUUCCUGUGGCAUGCUGCGACCAGGAAGUAUUUGUGCCGAUAAAGCCGUUUAUUCAGGACUAUCCAGUACGUGCGUCCCGAUGCCAUUCUCGAUUAGUUGUGGAUCGCCAAUGCGACGCCCUCGCAAUUAUUUCCUCGCUUCACCGUCGGGGUCUUCCCAGAGGAUCAUCGAGACAUACGGGCUUAGGUCAGCUUAUGGCCGUAAUCAUGCGUCUCAUUCGCCGAAGUGCCAGUACGGCGCAAGUGUUGACCCCCAUAAAGGAUCCACGUGUCGCCGUGUGCGGAGCCGCAUGGGCGUCUACAAUGGGGGGCUUAAUCGAGGCCCGUUAGACGAUCGCGAGAAACGCGCGUCUGAAGAUCACGAGAAUACAAAGGACGAUGCAUAAAUAAAAAGAUAUUCACAGAACGUAACUGAAGGGAUCAAUAAAGAAGUAAGUAAAAUAAGACAUUAAAAUGUUUUGUAUCCCUUUUUAAAUAUUAAUAUUUUAGCGGCGUUAGCUUUAAAUAUUAAAUAAGAUUUGAAGAUUUCAGUUUUAAACGUUUUAGUUGUUUUAAAUCUAAACACUGUUUAAGAGUAAAGCAUUUUUAAAUGUUUAAAAACCGAAGACAGAUAAAACAUUUUAUUAUGUUAAAAUUGAACUUGUUUCUUCAAGUGAUAACGUCGUAAAAUUGAUUGAGAACGCGAACAGUAAAAUCUCAUUAAGCAAACUGAGUUUCAAAGUAAUUUGUAUUUACUUUGUAAAAGCAUAGGAAUUUCUAACCAUCAAGGUUACAAAAAUUAAAUUAAAAUUGUGAUAAAAGUGAAUUUUCUUCAUUAAAAUAUAAGAGUAAAAAAUUUUAAUAACUGUGUACGUAAAGAAAUAAAACAAAUCAAAUUUAUUUUUCUUAUCUAGAGGAGUAAAAAUCUUUAAAGCCGCAAUAGUUGGAUGAUUAUAGAAUUCGUAUUUAUCGUUUCUAUUUAUUGUAUAUACUCCGUGUCAUACAACUCAGAAAAAUUAUUUGCAAGAUCAUCGCACGAGAAAAAAAAAUUCUGCAAACGCCCAUGCAUCGACCCCCUAUUGGAAUUAAACGAGAUGAACCAGAGAUUCUCCGCUGCAUUCUCUUGAAGGAUCAAUCGAGGAUCUCUACAAGUAUUGAAAAUUUCGUGGUUAAGCCGCGAGCGCUGAUCCCACUGUCGAUAUCGUGUAUUAUCUCACUCGAUAUCCUUGAGCAUAGAAGUAUUUUGAGGGAACAUGUGCGAGGUGCUUCAUUAUGAGCUGUAUCGAAAACGAUACGUGCAAUAUGGUUGACAUUAAUUUCUGUUGCGGAUAACGAAAAAAGUAUACUUUAUGAUAAUCUCUGCGAGAGAAUUUAUAAUACAUAAUGCUACCCGUACUCUUAAAAUUUCUCACUCUUUUAAAAUGUUAAGUAUUUCCAUACUGUAAUGCAAAGAGAAUCUGAAAUAAUGGCUUUUCUGGAACCUAUGUAAUAUGUAACAAUUACUUUGCAAUGUCUCAAGCAAUGUAGAAGCUGUAAAUAUAGAAUAUUUAUAAAUGUGUAUCACGAUUGUGUUAGUUACGUUGAAAGAAAGUAUAUUAAUAAUAAUCGAGCUUUGAAAACUUGAUUAAUAUAAAUUUAAUUAAUAUAACCAAAUAUUUAAUAAUUAUAUUAAUAAUAGUAAUCAAACAUAAUGUUUAUUAAGCUUUACUAAAUAUUACUAUGUAUUUGAUUAUGUUAACCAAGCAUUUAAAUAAAGUUUUUUAUUUCGCUAAGGCUUAGUUGUCAUUCAAAUUAUCACAGACUUGAUUAUUAUUACUAUUCUUGUUUUUUGAUUGUAGAAUCUUAUCGUUUUGACAUUACAAAUUGUUGGAUUUUGACUCACAAGAAUGAGAAUAGAGGUUUCGAUGUGUUACAGAUCAUGUAUCUAUAGCACAUCGAAAUCUGGACCCGAUAGAGAUUAUACCGGUUCCAGUUCUCGCUAAGAGGAAUUCGCCGAAGGACUUGAACGAAUUCCGCCGAGAGGCAGCGCCUCUCGUUCCUUUAUGUAUAUAUUUUAUAUAUAUAUCGAGCGUCAUUUUCAUUCCAAAAAAAUCGUGUUGCGUUUAAUUACGUUGUGCAAUAAUCGUUACAUAAUAUUUAUGCUACAGGAUUUUUUCCACAAAUGGCUCGACGGGCAGCGUUGCUCAACUUGGGAUGUCAUAUGAGAACAAGUGAGGCAGUAUGUAAAAUCCUCUUUACACGUGGUCUCGCAUAAAUAACUUUUGCAAUUUGUGAAAUCAACUACGAUCAAAUAGUCAAUGAAAUCAGUAAUAAGCACUAAUAUACUUUUAGUUUGAAGAAAUUAAAAAUCUCUUCGUUCUAUGAAAUCUAAAAGACAUCGUACUCAUUUUGAUAAAUUUGUAAUAUCUGCAAAAAGUAUUAUUUUUAUCGAAUUCGCAGGAAAAAUUUUCUUUUUACAUAUUUACCAUAUAUUCGUUUUACACGAAAUUUUGCGAAUGAAAAUUCAAUUAUUGUUAUCAUAUUCAGUUUUAUGUAGAAUUUGUUGUCCUCUAUAUCAAGCUAUAAUAUACGAUCUUGAUAUUGAAUGACGACAAAAAAAAAUGUAUAAUCGAGAAUGAGUUUGCAGCACAACGCGAGAGAUGGGGCGCUGCCAAUGAUUUAUGAUCGCCGGGGUUAACGAACACUAUAGGAUGCAUGCAGUGUGGCAUGAAAUUUUUUGUGACUCUUCUGUGCCGUGAAGUAUUGAUGAUGGCGUGAAAGCUCGUAAUUUAGCCCCGCGAGAUAGAACAUUGUAAAUAUAUUUAAAAGGUUAAUUGUAUUGAAGUCGCGAAUGAAAAAUAGACCUUUAAUAGGGUUUAUUAGUAUUUGCCUUUAGACGUGGCAAAGGAAAAUGUAUAAAUUAAGAUUAAUCAUAAUGUUCUUUUUUGGUCGAAAACGUUACUAUCUAUUGUAUUAAUAUUUUUGAUUUUUAUAAACAAUUUAUGUCAUUAAAACAUGUAAAAUAUUAUUUUAAACGUUUUAAUUAUUUUAUUGUAAUAUAUAUAAAGAAACAAAUUCGUAUUAAAAUUUAUUUAAAAUUUAUAUCAAUUUUAUAUUAAUAUGUAAUGACAAAAUCGAUUAUAUUAACAUUAUAUUAUUCAAUAAAAAAUAAGUAUCUAUUUUUAGACCAGGCUUUUAAUUUUGUCUCAGAUUUAUUAUCUCUAGAGAAGAUUAAAAAAUUAACGUUUCUAUAUUGCGGGUCCCAAAAAUAAAAUUGUAGAUUGCUUAAACAUUAUUUUUAGCGUAUAAUAUUUUGAACGAUUAAGCGUUAUAAUCGUUUCACAGAAAAAUGACCGGAGUUAUCAGAAUCGUAUUAUCGAGAAUUGAGGAAACUCUUUGUCAACAUUGAGUAUUAAAUCAUAGCGACGUAAGUGCUCGAAGAGUAUCGCGAUCGAUAUUUAUCUUCCGUUUGUUUGUGACAUCAGACGUUAAAAUAGACUGCGUCGCAGCAUCCGUCGCAGUAUCCGCGGGUGAAGAGCAAGGUUUUCUGCGUUACGCGUUGCGUAAAUGGACUAUGCACGAGUGGUACAACGGCAAACUCAUCCGUUUAGCGUUACCAUCCAAUUUUAAUCACUCGCAUGCGUCUCCAUAACAGGCCAAAUGUCAAGCUUAGCGUACUCGCCUAACCGCCGCGUAUUAUUAAUCGCGACGCGGCGCCUUCGCUACUGACCGUCGACCCCGUCUUGAUUUCGAAAGUGCAAUAAUUUAUCGAACCUACGAUCGAAUUCAGGGCCACCGGAUUAUUAGUCUUGAUAUAAUUAAACAUCAGUCGAUGUCGAUUAUUUUUACACAUUCGACAAAUAUCUAAGUACAUGUUUAUACGUCAAUGUGUAUAUACUACAUCAACGUUAGCAGUAUCAGGAUCGCUGAAACAUAGUGAGUUGGACAAUACAUAGGAAUAACUUUAAAGGGUUUUAUCAUAUAAUGUCAAUCUCAUUUUCGAAUAUCAAGAACUCCUUUUAAGAUUUAAUUCUUAUCUCAAUCUGACGAGCAACUAGAAAAGAUUUUAAUGAAAUGAUUCGUAUUAAAAUGAAUGCUAGGCAUAUAUAAAUAGUUUCUGAUUAGGGAUUUAAUAUUUUUUUAUAAUAUUCUUAUGACAUUUAUAACGUUUUAUCUUUUAUGAUACUUAUCUCAAUAUAUAUAAAUUGUACUGUAAUCUUAUAAUGAUAUUAUCAAGGCACCCGAAAAAAUUAUAGCGUUUGAACAAAGAUUAAGGGACAAUUAUAUACACAAUUUAUAUUUUUUUAUAUGGAUGUCAUUAAAUUAUAAGUUACGUUUUCCACAUUCUGCCUACAAUUUUUUUCUAAGAUUUUCCAAAUCCUGAAGAAAAUAAUAUAUUUAUUAAAAAUUUAUAUAAAAAGUUUACUUAAAUUAAAUAGAUGUUUCAUUGAGCUUUAAAACAUUUAUUGAAUUGUUUAUGAGAUGGAAAUUUAAACAUGGAAUUGUGUUUAGUGAGGUGUUCAUGACUAUGAAGUGUUUAAGUGACGUUCAAUAACGUAGUCUCAAACACUUCCAUUAUAAUUUUUUACGUGUUGGAAAAUGUUAUUGUCAGCAGAGGAGAGUUCAUCAGGUGUUUGUAAUGUGCUUCCAAAAAAAAAAAAAAA